This is a long non-coding RNA of Xenopus tropicalis (tropical clawed frog), 754 nucleotides long. RefSeq lists it as uncharacterized. The record is from RefSeq and is a predicted model, not a curated record. Lineage: Eukaryota; Metazoa; Chordata; Amphibia; Anura; Pipidae. The transcript is spliced from 3 exons.
UUGGAGGUUUCUGGUGUGGGUGGCAGGGGGCCUGGAUUAGAGUUAGACCCUUGGCCUUCAGCAAUCAGGUGAAAGACUGUGAGACACAGAAUCCUAGCUCUGCUGACCACAGUUGCAAAGUUGCAGUAAGAACACUCCUAAGGGUGAUGGCCGAUGGGGAGAUUUGUAGCCUUUGCUCGAAUCUUCGCUACCGCAGGUGACAAAUCUCUCAAAUUUUUUGGCAAUAAUGUAAAUUGCGGAAUGCAAGACAUACACAUUGUUUCGUUUUCCGUAGUCGCCACAGGCAAAUUUCAGCAAAUUGGGAAAGACAAAACAACUUGCAUGGUUUUCCCCUGGUCGAUCUACAUUAUUGACACUGGAAAAGCAUUUUCGGGAGCUUUUUGAAUGCAGAUAUAUAUCCAAGUGGGUGCACUAAGCAUACAGCCUUCAUGCCAUGAUGGGGAAUGGUGGAGGAUGCCAAGAAUAACCAUUAUAAACAGAAUCUUCAGCCUGUUAGGCCAGUGUGAGAAUGCUUGGUAGAGCAGCCAAUACCCACAGGAGGAGGGCACCUGUCACUCGCAGUCACCGCAACUAAAUGAUACGACUCUGUAGACGUCCAUAGGAAUCAAUACUAAGGGAUAAACCUACCGACAGGGUAAAAACUGCUUUCCUGGUCACGCUGUUAUUGUUUUUUUAUUUGACGCUGUUUGAUUAAACUAUACACCUUUAUUCUGCCAGAAUAAAAGUAAAUAAAACUUACAUAGUAAAUUCCGUA